This 465-nucleotide ribosomal RNA is filed under the name uncultured bacterium. Its description in RNAcentral is "partial 16S ribosomal RNA". It matches the Rfam family "Bacterial small subunit ribosomal RNA", at positions 28 to 507 of the family's 1533-position model. The record is from RNAcentral.
GACGAACGCUGGCGGCGUGCUUAACACAUGCAAGUCGAACGGAAAGGCCCCUUUGGGGGUCCUCGAGUGGCGGACGGGUGCGUAACACGUGAGUAACCUGCCCUUGCCUUCGGGAUAACUUCAGGAAACUGGGGCUAAUACCGGAUAGGAAUCCUUGCUGCAUGGUGGGGGUUGGAAAGCUUCGGCGGUUUUGGAUGGACUCGCGGCCUAUCAGCUUGUUGGUGGGGUAGUGGCUUACCAAGGCUUUGACGGGUAGCCGGCCUGAGAGGGCGACCGGCCACAUUGGGACUGAGAUACGGCCCAGACUCCUACGGGAGGCAGCAGGGGGGAAUAUUGCACAAGGGGCGGAAGCCUGAUGCAGCAAGGCCGCGGGCGGGAUGACGGCCUUCGGGGUGUAGACCGCUUUCAGCAGGAGCGAAGCUUGUGGUGACGGUACCUGCAGAAGAAGCACCGGCUAACUACGUG